Small nucleolar RNA from Beta vulgaris subsp. vulgaris (sugar beet), 114 nucleotides. It matches the Rfam family "Small nucleolar RNA Z278". Rfam says of the family: snoZ278 is a C/D box small nucleolar RNA. Its methylation guide targets have not been reported. NCBI's taxonomy places the organism in Eukaryota, Viridiplantae, Streptophyta, Magnoliopsida, Caryophyllales, Amaranthaceae. The record is from Rfam.
ACCAGUGAUGAUGAAAUCCAAUUAAAUGAGGUGUAACGGAUCUGAGUCCCUGUUUGACAGGGGGAACCUCUUAGUGAAAUUUCAUCAUUUGAUAUUAUUGGAUGUAACUGAGGU